Molecule: unclassified non-coding RNA, 309 nt
Filed under: plant metagenome
Description: partial contains 5.8S ribosomal RNA, internal transcribed spacer 2, and large subunit ribosomal RNA
Rfam family: 5.8S ribosomal RNA (bases 1-105)
Source: RNAcentral
GAAAUGCGAUAAGUAGUGUGAAUUGCAGAAUUCAGUGAAUCAUCGAAUCUUUGAACGCACAUUGCGCCCCUUGGUAUUCCAUGGGGCAUGCCUGUUCGAGCGUCAUUUGUACCCUCAAGCUCUGCUUGGUGUUGGGUGUUUGUCCCGUCUCCGCGCGUGGACUCGCCCCAAAGUGAUUGGCAGCCGGCGUACUGGUCCCGGAGCGCAGCACAUGUAGCGCAAACGAGUGCCUUGGUACGGCGGCGUCCAUAAGCCCCUCUCUCACGCUCUUGACCUCGGAUCAGGUAGGGAUACCCGCUGAACUUAAGC